GGCUCAGGACGAACGCUGGCGGCGUGCCUAAUACAUGCAAGUCGAGCGGGGUUGWUUAGAAGCUUGCUUCUAAWCAACCUAGCGGCGGACGGGUGAGUAACACGUAGGCAACCUGCCCACAAGACAGGGAUAACUACCGGAAACGGUAGCUAAUACCCGAUACAUCCUUUUCCUGCAUGGGAGAAGGAGGAAAGACGGAGCAAUCUGUCACUUGUGGAUGGGCCUGCGGCGCAUUAGCUAGUUGGUGGGGUAAAGGCCUACCAAGGCGACGAUGCGUAGCCGACCUGAGAGGGUGAUCGGCCACACUGGGACUGAGACACGGCCCAGACUCCUACGGGAGGCAGCAGUAGGGAAUCUUCCGCAAUGGGCGAAAGCCUGACGGAGCAACGCCGCGUGAGUGAUGAAGGUUUUCGGAUCGUAAAGCUCUGUUGCCWGGGAAGAACGUCUUGUAGAGUAACUGCUACAAGAGU
RNAcentral lists this ribosomal RNA (470 nucleotides) under Paenibacillus sp. R-45814. Its description in RNAcentral is "bacterial SSU rRNA". It matches the Rfam family "Bacterial small subunit ribosomal RNA", at positions 21 to 470 of the family's 1533-position model. Lineage: Bacteria; Bacillati; Bacillota; Bacilli; Caryophanales; Paenibacillaceae. The record is from RNAcentral.